CCUACGGGAGGCAGCAGUAGGGAAUAUUGCUCAAUGGGGGAAACCCUGAAGCAGCAACGCCGCGUGGAGGAUGACGGUUUUAGGAUUGGAAACUCUCUUUGUUAGAGAAGCUUAUGACGGUACCCAACGAAUAAGCACCGGCGAACUCCGUGCCAGCAGCCGCGGUAACACGGCGGGUGCAAGCGUUACUCGGAAUCACCGGGCGUAAAGAGUGCGUAGGCGGGGUAAUAAGUCAGAUGUUAAAUCCUGUAGGUUAACUACAGAACUGCAUUUGAAACUGUUACUCUGGAGUGUGGGAGAGGUAGGUGGAAUGCUUGGUGUAGGGGUAAAAUCCGUAGAGAUCAAGAGGAAUACUCAUUGCGAAGGCGACCUGCUGGAACAUUACUGACGCUGAUGCACGAAAGCGUGGGGAGCGAACAGGAUUAGAUACCCUAGUAGUC
This 440-nucleotide ribosomal RNA is filed under the name uncultured bacterium. RNAcentral's name for it is "partial 16S ribosomal RNA". It matches the Rfam family "Bacterial small subunit ribosomal RNA", at positions 338 to 795 of the family's 1533-position model. The record is from RNAcentral.